AUACUUACCUGGCAGGGGAGAUGCCAUGGUCACGAAGGUGGUUUUCCAGGGGCGAGGCUUACCCAUUGCACUCCGCAUGUGCAGACCUCGGCAAUUUCCCCAAAUGUGGGAAACUCGACUGCAUGAUUUGGGGCGGGGGGGGGGGGGGACUGUGUUCACACUCUCCCCUA
Small nuclear RNA from Myotis lucifugus (little brown bat), 170 nucleotides. Its record names the gene U1. It matches the Rfam family "U1 spliceosomal RNA". From Rfam's summary of the family: U1 is a small nuclear RNA (snRNA) component of the spliceosome (involved in pre-mRNA splicing). Its 5' end forms complementary base pairs with the 5' splice junction, thus defining the 5' donor site of an intron. The record is from Ensembl. NCBI's taxonomy places the organism in Eukaryota, Metazoa, Chordata, Mammalia, Chiroptera, Vespertilionidae.